RNAcentral lists this ribosomal RNA (440 nucleotides) under uncultured bacterium. RNAcentral describes it as "partial 16S ribosomal RNA". It matches the Rfam family "Bacterial small subunit ribosomal RNA", at positions 338 to 795 of the family's 1533-position model. The record is from RNAcentral.
CCUACGGGUGGCAGCAGUGGGGAAUAUUGCACAAUGGGGGAAACCCUGAUGCAGCGACGCCGCGUGGGGGAAGAAGUAUCUCGGUAUGUAAAGCUCUAUCAGCAGGGAAGAAAAUGACGGUACCUGACUAAGAAGCACCGGCUAACUACGUGCCAGCAGCCGCGGUAAUACGUAGGGGGCAAGCGUUAUCCGGAUUUACUGGGUGUAAAGAGCGUGUAGGCGGGAUGGCAAGUCCGGAGUGAAAGCCCAUGGCUUAACCAUGGAACUGCACUUGAAACUGUGGGUCUUGAGUGCGGGAGGGGCAGGUGGAAUUCCUGGUGUAGGGGUGAAAUGCGUAGAGAUCAAGAGGAACACUGGGUGCGAAGGCGACCUGCUGGACCGUAACUGACGUUGAGGCUCGAAAGCGUGGGGAGCAAACAGGAUUAGAUACCCUUGUAGUC